CGUUUUUAAAUGCGUUAAUUUAUAUUUUUAUCUUUUUUUCGUCUGUUAUUUCAAGGCUGAAAAUAUUUCUUAUCAAUGUUUUCAAGAAAUUGGAAGUUUGCAGCAUGUCAUAUUUGAUAUGUUUCGAUUUGAUGUUCUUACUAAUUUAUUAUUCGAUAAUCGAAAUUAUGGCGGGAGAUGUCAUUGUAUCGAUAAUCAUAAGUUUAUGAUCACGACAGUUCAGAUCGUCAUUUUUUCUUGAGAUUAUUAAUUGAUUGUUGGAAUGAUGGAAAGAUUUCAAUAUGAACGCCAUAACGAUUAAUAACUUCAAGAAAUGUUUCUCAUACUUGAUGACUAUUUCGCAAUGAUAUCCUAAUAUUGAUGACAGCAUUAACAUCGCAUUUAUUGGUAAGUCAUACAUUUAUAUUUUUUUU
This is a long non-coding RNA of Apis dorsata (giant honeybee), 413 nucleotides long. RefSeq lists it as uncharacterized. The record is from RefSeq and is a predicted model, not a curated record. The transcript is spliced from 3 exons. Lineage: Eukaryota; Metazoa; Arthropoda; Insecta; Hymenoptera; Apidae.